GACGAACGCUGGCGGCGUGCUUAACACAUGCAAGUCGAGCGGUAAGGCCCUUUCGGGGGUACACGAGCGGCGAACGGGUGAGUAACACGUGGGUGACCUGCCCUCAGCUCUGGGAUAAGCCUGGGAAACCGGGUCUAAUACUGGAUAUGACUCCAUGACGCAUGUUGUGGGGUGGAAAGCCUUGUGCGGCUGAGGAUGGGCCCGCGGCCUAUCAGCUUGUUGGUGGGGUGANGGCCUACCAAGGCGACGACGGGUAGCCGGCCUGAGAGGGCGACCGGCCACACUGGGACUGAGACACGGCCCAGACCUCCUACGGGAGGCAGCAGUGGGGAAUCUUGCGCAAUGGGCGAAAGCCUGACGCAGCGACGCCGCGUGAGGGAUGACGG
This 386-nucleotide ribosomal RNA is filed under the name uncultured bacterium. RNAcentral's name for it is "bacterial SSU rRNA". It matches the Rfam family "Bacterial small subunit ribosomal RNA", at positions 28 to 414 of the family's 1533-position model. The record is from RNAcentral.